UUUCUUAGCAGGAGGAAGUCAGGAGGAGGCAAAGCGGGCAAAGACAUCAGAUAAGUCGGGAUAAAAUUCUUGGCUAACCUGUUUUUUCCGCUUCCUCCAGACAGCCAGUUCUGAAGCACUGAGCAGAGAUCUGCCCGGGAGGAAGAGCAGAGCCAAUCUCUGAGAGCUGACGCGCGAGCUGUGGUGAGGACAGCUGCUCCCUGCCUGCAGCCUGCCUUGGUGUGGGAGCUGCUGAGCUGCCAUUCCUGUGGUGGGAGUGUUUCUCCUCUCAUUGAGCCAAGCCAGAGACCUGCUAGGGAAGGAGCAGACUCAUCACGGCAGGACGGCGUGAAGGCUGAAAGCGUAAGAAGAUGUGGAGGGAAGCAGAGAAUCUGACAGGAGCAUCGAACGCGCGAGCGCACGAAUUUUGCUUUUUGCUUGGGUGUAAACUCAGGAGUUGAAAGGAAUUUGGGAGUGAGAAGGGACAUUUCAGAAGGUGAAGAAGAAAAAGAAGUUGUUGUUGUUGUUACAGGCCUGGCAAAAUCUUUUGUUCUAGCUAAUAAAAGAAGUUAGUUUAAAUAAAAAAAAGAAAAAAAAAUGUAGUUUUUCUUUACCUGACUGUUAUAUUCAUUGGUGGUAUAUGGUGUGUUGUUUAAUUUCUUGGUAUGAUUAACUCAGUGUAAGUUGUUUUUUGAGUGAACUAACUUUCUGGAUGGGUUGGUUUGUAUUUGAGACAGGAUUGAUUUCAAUAGGUUUCUUUCAUAGACUUGUGAUAGGUAUUACUGGGGUUUUGGCUUUGUUUACUGUAUGCAUAAACAUACAGCUUUGGUUGGGCCAGGUGGGCUGCCGGAGUUUGUGGGUGUGAAUUUAUUCGAUGGCUUUUGUUAAAUGCAGUGUUUAAUUUUUGACAGGUUUUUCAAUGUAGUGGUUUUAAGGUGGUUUUUAGAAUUGAUUGUAUGGUUUGAUGUUGUUUAUAGUUGCUGUCCGGUAAGGGAUGUGGUGUGAGUACUUGAACCUUAUGGUUUUGGUUUUCCUAAGUUCCGUUUUCUUUCUGGUUCGAUAGGUUUUUUUAGUUUUAUUUUUGGUGCCAGGGGUAUUCACGUGGUGGGUUUUUAUAGGCAAUAUGUUUUUUAAUUUGGGUAGUGAUAUUUUUUAGUAUUUUAACAGUUUAGAUUUUUUAUUUUUAUGCUUUGAAUUAGUUUUCUUUUAAUUUUAAAUUAAGUUUUAUAGAUGAUUGGUUUUUAUUUGUGCAUUAGCAUAAAGGUAGAGCUUUGGGGGCUUCUUUUAGUACUGUUUAGUUUUGAGUCUAGUGAGUUGGUUUGAUUUAAUUUUUAGUGGGUGUUUGUUUUUCUUAGCAGUUGUGUCAUUUUCAAGGUGUAUUUGAGGUUUUUGGGGUUUUUGAGAUAUUGGUUUAGGAGGACGUUUAUGAUGAGCAUGUGCGCAGGUUUUGGGCUAGUUGAAGUGGGAUUUAAAAUUUAUUUUGGGUUAGGUUUAUUUGAGUGUUUAUGAGGGUUCAGUGUUGUGGGAUGUUUGUUCCGUUAGUAAUAAAAAUAGGUUUUGUUUUGAUGUGCUGCGAUGGGAUGAGCGUGUGCUGCGUGCCGGUGCUGACAAAGGGCCCGCUGAAGGAC
Zonotrichia leucophrys gambelii is the source of this 1607-nucleotide long non-coding RNA. RefSeq lists it as uncharacterized. The record is from RefSeq and is a predicted model, not a curated record. Lineage: Eukaryota; Metazoa; Chordata; Aves; Passeriformes; Passerellidae. The transcript has 3 exons.